Passer domesticus (house sparrow) is the source of this 480-nucleotide long non-coding RNA. RefSeq lists it as uncharacterized. NCBI's taxonomy places the organism in Eukaryota, Metazoa, Chordata, Aves, Passeriformes, Passeridae. The record is from RefSeq and is a predicted model, not a curated record. The transcript has 3 exons.
UUCAUUGUGUUCGCAUGCUCUUCACCGUGCUCCUGCCCACUCUGCUUUUCACCUGCCCCCUGAUAACCCUUUCAGUCCUGAAAGAUCCUUAGUGUCUGGAUUUCAUCAUCCAGCCCUGCAGGAUGCUCCCAUUUCUCCUGACGAUGGCUGUCCCAGACAGAGAGGAGGAGAUGGAGGUAGAUACAAAGAUUGAUAUGGAGGAGAAGAUGGAAAUAGACGGAGAAGACCCUGGAGAGGAAGAGAUGGAUGUGGAUGUGGAGGAGGAAGAAGAGAUGGACGUGUAUGUGGAUGAGGAAGAAGAGAUGGAUGUGGAUAUGGAAGAGUCCAUUGAGGACAUGGAUAUUGAUUAAAAAGGUGCGAUGGACAGCACAGACAGAGACGCCAACCUUUGUAUAUAUGUUCUACAGUUUGUUGUUGUUCUUUAGAAUGUAGAUUUUAGGGCUAUUUUUGACUUCUGUAAAUACAUUUCAGAUAUUUUUG